UAUAGAAAAAAGCAAACCUUUGGAAACAAAGGGACGCAAAGCUAUAGGGCCUGUAAGAUGGUAGCCAGUUGCCGAA
RNAcentral lists this non-coding RNA (76 nucleotides) under Ilyobacter polytropus. RNAcentral describes it as "c-di-GMP sequence". It matches the Rfam family "c-di-GMP-I riboswitch aptamer". Rfam says of the family: GEMM was predicted in a large-scale screen for bacterial structured RNA regulatory elements. Genes associated with GEMM are involved in a diverse array of functions, including chemotaxis regulation, signal transduction, secretion and chitin. The record is from RNAcentral. RNAcentral also lists the same sequence under 1 other name. Lineage: Bacteria; Fusobacteriati; Fusobacteriota; Fusobacteriia; Fusobacteriales; Fusobacteriaceae.